Cricetulus griseus (Chinese hamster) is the source of this 426-nucleotide non-coding RNA. The record is from the annotation of a RefSeq genome assembly. Lineage: Eukaryota; Metazoa; Chordata; Mammalia; Rodentia; Cricetidae.
AUGAAGCUCAGUUUACUAUGCAGUGCAGCAUUGUGCUUCCUGCAAGCAGGUCCAGUAAGUGCUGGCAUCAGUCAGACUCCCAGCUGGAUGAUCCUGAAGACAGGGCAACUUGUGUCAGUGAACUGUACUCAGCACUUGAAACAUGACUGCAUGUUCUGGUACCGACAGGAUCCAGGGCUGGGACUGAGGCUAAUCUACUACUCGUACGAUGUCAGCAACACUGAAAAAGGAGAUGUCUCUGAGGGGUACAGUGUCUCCAGAUCAAACGCAGAGGACUUCUCCCUCACUCUGGAGUCAGCCACCCACUCCCAGACAUCUGUGUACUUCUGUGCCAGCAGCUAUACCACAGAGCUGUGUUCCUGCCUCUUCUCUGUACAUAAAGAUACAGGCAGAGAAGAGGCACUACCCCCACCUGGAAUUCAAUGA